This is a long non-coding RNA of Anopheles merus, 291 nucleotides long. RefSeq lists it as uncharacterized. The record is from RefSeq and is a predicted model, not a curated record. Lineage: Eukaryota; Metazoa; Arthropoda; Insecta; Diptera; Culicidae. The transcript has 3 exons.
CAUCGGUAUUAUUGCCGUCAUUAAAUAUUAAAUCUGUUUUGUAUGCGUUGUGUAUUGAUGUAACUACUCGAUAGAGCGUGAUAUUUCCUUGAGAAUGAGCGAUCACAACCGGUGGAUCAUCAUGUUGCCGCUUUCCCUUUUGAUGAUACUCACGCUUUUAAAAGAUGUUCGAGGCUUCGACCUAUCUGAUAUGAUGAAGCAACUUACUGAUUAUUUUCAACGUUUUUUCAACACAACCAUGCUACCGAUGAUUCGAAGAUAUGAACGACCCACCGAAAAUCCACUUGCAGA